UUCAUGGAAACAUGCACCUAAAUUGCAGUGGCAACUUUCAAACAUCUUUAGAUUUCAUAUCUCUCAAAUUAGAAUUCAUAUGUACAGAAGAAUAGAGACAACCAACAAAUCAUCUCACAAGAUUUCACUACACUAGUCCCGUUGGACAUUAGAGUCUACUAGUGGAGAGCUGCUGGAUUGAGCCCCUUGAGAUUCAAUUGCACAGCACAGGUAUUACUAUUUAUCCUGGACUCGUUGCGCCUCUUGUCCUUCUUUAGAAACUGAAUGGUCCUCCCUUAAAAAAAACUGAAUGGUCCUCGAGAGGAGCAAACAACACCAACACAAAACGAGCUCAAUUACAACCAAGCGCCGCUACAAGGUCCAUCAGUCCGUCUUCUCGCCCUCCACAAGAUAAAACUUGCUCUCCCAUCUCCAGCAUAGAUUUUCUUCCCUUGAGCGGCGUCCUGUGGCAGCCUUUUCUUUUCUUCACAUAGAUAUGCUCUCCUGUAACAUUCAAAGAACUGCUGAGUCAGGUCUACCUCUAAUCAACACAACACAACACAAAUACAAAGAUGCAUGCUGACAUAAUAUUCAAAUAUGCUCUUCAGAUUGCACACCAGUCCAACAAGGACCCGUCGGUGAGUUGCAAAAAACCAAAAGCUGCUUCUACAAAUUGUAGACCAAGCUUCAGUUGAAAAACUACUGCCAAUUGCCUCUCAAGUAGUAAACAGAGACAUCUUUUUCAAACGCACAUCUUUGAGAAUCAUAAUAUUUUGAUCAAACAACAACAAAAAACAAAAGCUAUCUGCGUUAGCAACAAAGAACCAGCGUCACAUCUUAUCUUAUGCUGCUUGCAUCACAAAAUCCAACCACAAAACAUUUGGAAAAUCUAUCAACAUUAGCAUCAAAGAACCAGGAGAAAAUUCUCAGGAACCAUCGUAUGAGUUUGAAUACUGGCCCAAGCAUAGUAGACGAGCAAGUCACAGGAAGUAAACAAUGCAACACUAGUUCAUCAGAUCAACACUAGGGCAUACAUCAAGCAUGGAUCAAACCAACCCAGUCACAACAAUCAUCUCAAAGCUAGCAAAAAAAUCGCAUGCCAAAUAAUAUAUUUCAUCUUUCCGGAAUUACUUGUCGCUCAAAUGAAUAUAUCUCAAGUGAGCGACAAGUAAUUCCGGACGGAGGGAGUACUUGAUAAGUACACAAGUAUGUUGACCUAGCUACAACAGAGCCCUUUUGUAAAACUAAAACAUCAAAGAACCGGCGAGUUAGGUCUCUCUCUCUCUAAUCAACACACCACAACACAAGUACAAAGAUGCAUGCUGAGAUAAUAUUGCACUUCAGAUUGAACAACAGUAGCAAGGAGACGUUGGUGAGUUCCAAAAAGCCAAAAGCUUCUUCUAGAAAAUGUAGGCCAAGCUUCAAUUGAAAAACUACUGCCAAUUCACUCUCAAGUAGACCUAUAAACCAUCGCCAGCCUGGGAAUUAAUACAACUUCACCAAUCAUCAUAUAUUGACCAACCAACCACUAAAAACAAAAGCUAUCUAUGUGAACAUCAAAGAACCAGCAUCACAUCUGAUCUUAUGCUUCUUGCAUCACAAAAUCCAACCAAAAACAUUUGGAAAAUCUAUCUACAUGAACAUCAAAGAACCAGGAGAAAAAAACAUCUCAGGAACCAUUGUAUGAGCUAGAAUACUGGCCCAUAGAUGGGUGCGUGAAUUUAAAAACUCAUGAUCAUCCUGACCGGAGUUCUCUCCGACCCAGGAUCCAAUAUGGUUUCCUCCUGAUCAUCAGGCAACACAUGCACAAGCCACAAGAAGGCCAACAAAAAUGCAAAGUAAGCAACUCAUUGACACAUCACCGUUUUCGUGAUGAUAAGGUAUUACAUGUAAUAGCACCACUACCACAUAAGAACAGACUUAGGCUAUUAUCCUAGAUGAUUUCAUCCUAAAUAAUUAACAAACCACAACAAGUAGCACAAGGGCCUAACCAGAACAUCCAUUGGCAAGCGUGAUGGCAGCGGCCUCCACGAACCCAAGAACUUGGGUUCCUCGUCAAUCAAGCUUGUUUGGGCCUAAGAUUUGAAGGCGCUGUCAGCGGUGAGGAUAUCACGGCCAUUCCUCAGGUUGUCAAACACCCUCCUCCAGGGGAAUGUUCUCCUGCAGAAGUAGAGGGAUCAGCACGAAACAACAAAUGAGGGCAGCAGGGAUUGUGGAGGAGACAAUAGCACAACAUCCAGAUCUAAUCAAAUCAAACAACAUCCGAAAGGCACAUGAACAAACAAGGAGGAUCAGGUGAGGUAACAGUGCAAAUCACAAUCGUCACAUCAAUCACACAUGUGCUUGCUCCUAGUGCUUCACUUGACGAAACUUCAGACUAUUAUUAACACGAACAUAUGCUUGAUCUGACAAGUAACCAACCAAGUUCAGGUUUUUUGUUCCUGAGAAAUCUACUCAUAAAAGAACAAUGGUACUCGGAACAUAGCAUGCCAAGUAAUUUACAGUACUUCGUAAGUACGCAAGUCUGUUUACCAAAAAUGCUAGAACAGGGCCCUUUCAUAAAACUAAAACAUUUUAGAAAUUAGGCCUUCCAUAUCCAGAGACAGUGAACGAGCAAGCAGGCGGGAGAGACAAUUUGGCAUGAUAUGCAACCCGAUAGUGACACAAACAAAGCAUGAAUUCCAGUAGUGAACUACUAAAACAGUAAAGAUACGGCAUACUCGCCAUGCUGAAAGUGCAGUGGAUGUCCGUUACAUAAGCAGAAUUCCUGUCGAUCAAGAUUGCUUUUCACACAAGCACUUGACAGGAAAGGGAAGGAAGGAGAGAAGGAUAUACCUCGGCUAGGACCUCAUCUACGACCUGCAGCUCGUCAGGGAGGGGCCGGAGAUGCUACCACAAACUCCUCAUCCUCUAUGGAAGGCCAGCAAGAGGGCGCAGGUGGAGCCAAUGACGGCCCUUGUGGGUACAUACAAGAAACUGAGUUAAAUCAGUUUUAAGCCAACAACACAACAAACAAAUAGUUGAGAGCUUAAAGUAGGUAAUUAAGGUGACUGAUCAGUAGAGAUUCACUAGUACAUGAUACAUCAUCAAGCUAGCAACGGGGAAAAUAGGACAAACAUGUGUUCAAGUUCCAGCAACCUACUAUUUAUCUAUCUCUCCGGACAAAAUGUUAAACUUUAGUAUAGCAACACUGACCAGCCCCUGAAUAUUUCUGCCCGUUAAAGAAACAAAGUAGGUUCAUAGAGACUUGUUACCCUAAAAAAAUAGGUUCAUAGAGACUUGUAAUAAAGCCAGAAAUCAUCAGGUUAGGGAAUUAAACAUGGCAGCAAGCAUGUAGAACCAGCAAGCAGACAUGAGACAAACUAACAUGAUACGACAAAACAAAGCAUAGAUUCUAGUAGUGAACCUCUAAAACAGUAAAGAUACGACAAACUAGCCAUGUUGAAAUCAAUGUGAAGUGGCAGUCCAUUAAAUAAGCAGAUUUAUUUUUUAUCAAGAUUGCUUUUCACACAAGCACUUGACAGGAAGGAGAAGGAGAGGAGGGCAUACCUCCACUGGGACCUGGUCCACAACGUGCAGCUCAUCAGGAAGGGGUCGGAGAUGCUGUUGCUGCAAGCUCCCGGUCCUCUAUGGGCACAGGAACAAAACAGAAAAGAACAAUUGAGUGUGAGUGGCCUGUACUAAAAUGUUGAAUCAAGCAGGGUUAAAAAGACAUAUUUUUACUAUCCAUUUUUCAAGUGUGUUCUUGAUGCUUGCAUGGUCUCCAGGGUAGCACUACUGGAGAUCACAGGGCAAGGAGACGAACAUAUAUUAUUUGGAACAAACACUGAGCUCAAAAAGGCCUUUGGAUAAUGACGCCUAGAAAGCCUUCGAUAUGUGCAAGCAUCAAAACAAAACGGAACAGAAGCACGCAGAGGAAAGAAAUCCAAGAGACAAGCAAAAAAAAAUCCUACCUUGCUUUCAGAAUUCAACACAUCAAGCUUACGUACAUAAAAUGGCCCGCCACUGCUUUUACUAGUAAAAGCAGCAUGGCAGGCAACCAAGGACGACUUGACUUGGGUCUGGAUCCAUCCAUACGCACAUCAAAUGAAAUUGACGAAAUUUUCACAUCACAACAUGCAUGGUUGGCUAGCUCAUUGAUCAAGCAUACAACACCAAUAUAUACAAAAUGAUGAGUAAUUGAGCAGGACAAAGAGAGCAAAGGAUAUUAGAGAGAAUGCAAAUUGACCAAUAGAUUGUUUCCCUGAAUCAUCAAAACAAAAUGCUCAACCAUGAAUCAGAUUCGUUUCGAUUU
Molecule: long non-coding RNA, 4273 nt
Filed under: Triticum aestivum (bread wheat)
Lineage: Eukaryota; Viridiplantae; Streptophyta; Magnoliopsida; Poales; Poaceae
Description: long non-coding RNA (TAES_LNC002712)
Source: RNAcentral